Molecule: microRNA precursor, 101 nt
Filed under: Marmota monax (woodchuck)
Lineage: Eukaryota; Metazoa; Chordata; Mammalia; Rodentia; Sciuridae
Source: RNAcentral
ACAAAAAUGAUCUGAAGAUCUUAAAGUGUAGAUUUUGAAUCAGUAGUCUGGGAUGAGGCCUGAGAUUCUGCAGUUCUAAUAAGUUCUCAGGUCAUUUCAAU